GGGCCAGUGCCCUUCUUCCUCAUCAUCUUUACCUGUCCCCCAUUUGGGGAGCCAGACAUUAAAGACUGGAACAUUCAAAACCAGUUGCAUUUAUGGGGAAAGUUAGAAAGUGACCAUGUAUUCUCAGGGAGAGGCAGUAUGGUGGUGCCUCAAAAAGUUAACAAUAGAAUUACAUCUGGUUCAAAAUCCCACUUCUGGGUAUAUACCCAAAAGAAUUGAAAUCAGGUUCUCGAAGAGAUAUUUGCACACUCAUGUUCACAGCAGCAUUAUUCACGAUGGCGAAAGUGUGGAAGCAGCCCAAGUGUCCAUCAAGAGUUGAAAGGAUGAGCAAGAUGUGUACAGACAUACAAUGGAAUUUUAUUCAGCUUUAAAAAGAGAGUCUCCAUCAAGUGCAACAUGAUGUUUCCAAUGAAUGUCCUCAAGGCAAUAGAAGUAAAAAUUCACCCUGUGUUGCAGCAAAUGCUCACCCUGAAAUUGAACAGAAGCGAUCAAUUCAAGUCCAAACAAUAACAUUUAAACAAAUAAUAAGAAAGACUCCAGAUCAGGGGAUGAUAUAAUUAAAAGGCAGCCUCUUGAGAACUGAAAAGGUUUGGGGUUUAAAAAAAUCCAAUUUCAAUAAAAAGAAACCUGUUGAAAAA
This is a long non-coding RNA of Felis catus (domestic cat), 638 nucleotides long. RefSeq lists it as uncharacterized. Lineage: Eukaryota; Metazoa; Chordata; Mammalia; Carnivora; Felidae. The record is from RefSeq and is a predicted model, not a curated record. The transcript is spliced from 2 exons.